This 334-nucleotide ribosomal RNA is filed under the name uncultured bacterium. Its description in RNAcentral is "bacterial SSU rRNA". It matches the Rfam family "Bacterial small subunit ribosomal RNA", at positions 30 to 365 of the family's 1533-position model. The record is from RNAcentral.
AUUGAACGCUGGCGGCAUGCCUUACACAUGCAAGUCGAACGGCAGCACGGGAGCAAUCCUGGUGGCGAGUGGCGAACGGGUGAGUAAUAUAUCGGAACGUGCCCAGUCGUGGGGAUAACGUAGCGAAAGCUACGCUAAUACCGCAUACGAUCUAUGGAUGAAAGCGGGGGAUCGCAAGACCUCGCGCGAUUGGAGCGGCCGAUAUCAGAUUAGGUAGUUGGUGAGGUAAAGGCUCACCAAGCCGACGAUCUGUAGCUGGUCUGAGAGGACGACCAGCCACACUGGGACUGAGACACGGCCCAGACUCCUACGGGAGGCAGCAGUGGGGAAUUUU